This 443-nucleotide ribosomal RNA is filed under the name uncultured bacterium. Its description in RNAcentral is "partial 16S ribosomal RNA". It matches the Rfam family "Bacterial small subunit ribosomal RNA", at positions 338 to 795 of the family's 1533-position model. The record is from RNAcentral.
CCUACGGGAGGCAGCAGUGGGGAAUAUUGGGCAAUGGGCGCAAGCCUGACCCAGCAACGCCGCGUGAAGGAAGAAGGCUUUCGGGUUGUAAACUUCUUUUAUUCGGGACGAAACAGAUGGCGGUACCGAAUGAAUAAGCCGCGGCUAACUACGUGGCAGCAGCCGCGGUAAUACGUAGGUGGCAAGCGUUAUCCGGAUUUACUGGGUGUAAGGGGGGUGUAGGCGGUAGAGCAAGUCAGACGUGAAAUUCCAGGGCUCAACCGUGCAACUGCGUUUGAAACUGUGCGUCUUGAGUGAAGGAGAGGCAGGCGGAAUUCCGGGUGUAGCGGUGAAAUGCGUAGAUAUGAGGAGGAACACCAGUGGCGAAGGCGGCCUGCUGGACAUUAACUGACGCUGAGGCGCGAAAGCGUGGGGAGCAAACAGGAUUAGAUACCCGGGUAGUC